CCUACGGGGGGCUGCAGUGAGGAAUAUUGGUCAAUGGACGGAAGUCUGAACCAGCCAUGCCGCGUGCAGGAAGACGGCUCUAUGAGUUGUAAACUGCUUUUGUACAAGGGUAAACCUGAAUACGUGUAUUCAGCUGAAAGUACUGUACGAAUAAGGAUCGGCUAACUCCGUGCCAGCAGCCGCGGUAAUACGGAGGAUCCAAGCGUUAUCCGGAUUUAUUGGGUUUAAAGGGUGCGUAGGCGGAUUGAUAAGUUAGAGGUGAAAUGUCCGAGCUUAACUCGGGAACUGCCUCUAAUACUGUUGAUCUAGAGAGUAGAUGCGGUAGGCGGAAUGUAUGGUGUAGCGGGGAAAUGCUUAGAGAUCAUACAGAACACCGAUUGCGAAGGCAGCUUACCAAUCUAUAUCUGACGUUGAGGCACGAAAGCGUGGGGAGCAAACAGGAUUAGAUACCCCAGUAGUC
This 460-nucleotide ribosomal RNA is filed under the name uncultured bacterium. RNAcentral describes it as "partial 16S ribosomal RNA". It matches the Rfam family "Bacterial small subunit ribosomal RNA", at positions 338 to 795 of the family's 1533-position model. The record is from RNAcentral.